This is a long non-coding RNA of Ruditapes philippinarum (Manila clam), 7154 nucleotides long. RefSeq lists it as uncharacterized. Lineage: Eukaryota; Metazoa; Mollusca; Bivalvia; Venerida; Veneridae. The transcript is spliced from 5 exons. The record is from RefSeq and is a predicted model, not a curated record.
AACCCAGCGACCGAUAGACGUUAUUGAGAUUAUGCUGAGUUACCCCGCUUGAGUUAACGGUGUAACCGGUGAAGAGGUUAAAUAAUUCCUAUUAUUUAUAAACAUGAAAAUGAUCCUAGACGAGAAAGAAUGGCCCUCUUUGGCCAAGGCAUGUUUGAAACCAGCUGUUCAAAUGCCGACAGAUGAUGUGGUCAUGUUGAAUGGCAUAACAUUUGGAUUUUUGACACCUGUGAAGGAGUAGAAAAUCCAUACGUGUUUCAAGACAUGCCCAAAGUAGAAGAAACACAAGAUUUUUUUGAAGAAAAGCCUGUUAGCAUGGUGUAAAAAUUAUAUCUCCAUUGGACAUAUUUCCUGUUCUGUCAAAUUCAGUGGUUGGUGUGGUUCAUCACAGAGCCAAAGAGACAUGUUGAUUGGAUUAUCACUCUACCUGAUUAAAUACAAGUAGAUGGAUGUUUUCAUUUGCUUUAUUGAUUGCCAGAUGAAUGUAGAAUGAUUUACAAAUGUAUUUAAUCAUCAUAACAGUACAGUGCACUAUGUACUUAACUUUCUGUAUUAACUUGUUAGUGUGUUAACUGGAUUUUUAGAAAGUACAGUUGUGAUAGUCUGUCUGUAACAGCCACAUUUAUAUUUGGUUGCAAAAUGACAUUCUCUUUUAAUAUGAUCAUAUGUUGUAAAAUAUUUCAUGUCCUCUUUCCAUGAUUUGCUUUUUUCACCAUUAAUUCACUUAAUGACACUUAAGCAAUAAUAGUUCAGACAGAAAUAUUCAAUAUUUCAAGGAAAAUGGUCAAUAUGAUGAGAUGUUUUUAAAAUGCUCAUGCUCACUUUGUUUGAUUGUGAUUGUCUGACUUUUUAACCAUGUGAAUGCGUUAUUUGAAAAAAGGUGUAGCGUCAAUCAAAAAAUGUUGAGACUAAAUUUUUGCUCAGAUUUUGUAGCUAUCGUAUACUUGAAUUUACUUGUACCAUAUUUUAUUGGAUCACAUUUGUUGGUUAAAUGACCAUUUGUGUAAUACUGACAAGGGCGGUUCUUUAUUCUAUAUUUUUAUGUGAUAUUGUGACAAAGUGUACCUCCAUCCAGGUCAUGAUAGAAGUUUAAAUUUGGUCUCAUUUUGAUGCUAUUGCAAAGUACUACAUACCUGUACCCAUUUUCAUUGGGUCACAUUUCUUUCUUCUCUGUCUAUUUUGUGUCACACUGUGUCACACUGACAGGGCGGUCCUUUAUUCUAUAUUUUUAUGUGAAUGUGAUAUUGUGACAAAGUGUAACUUCCAUCUAGGUCAUGCUAAGACUUUAAAUUUGGUCUCAUUUUGAAGCUAUUAUAUAGGACUUCAUACCCGUACCCUCUUUUAUGGGGUCACAUUUCUUUAUUUUUUGUCUAUUUUGGGUUAUACUGACAGGGGCGGCCUUUUCUCUAUAUUUUUAUGUGAAUGUGAUAUUGUGACAGAGUGUUACUUCCAUCUAGGUCAAGCUAGGACUUUAAAUUUGGUCUCAUUUUGUAGAUAUUAUAUAUAACUACAUACCUGUACCCCCUUUCAUGGGGUCACAUUUCUUUAUUUUUCGUCUAUUUUGUGUCAUACUGACAGGGGCGGCCUUUUCUCUAUAUUUUUAUGUGAAUGUGAUAUUGUGACAAAGUGUAACUUCCAUCUAGGUCAUGCUAGGACUUUUAAUUUGGUCUCAUUUUGAAGCUAAUAUAUAGUUCUACAUACCUGUACCCCCUUUUAUGGGGUCACAUUUCUUUAUUAUUUGUCUAUUUUGGGUUAAUCUGACAGGGGCGGCCUUUUCUCUAUAUUUUCAUGGGAAUGUGAUAUUGUGACAGAGUGUUACUUCCAUCUAGGUCAAGCUAGGACUUUAAAUUUGGUCUCAUUUUGUAACUAUUAUAUAGGACUACAUACCUGUACCCCCUUUUAUGGGGUCACAUUUCUUUAUUUUUCGUCUAUUUUGUGUCAUACUGACAGGGGCGGCCUUUUCUCUAUAUUUUUAUGUGAAUGUGAUAUUGUGACAAAGUGUAACUUCCAUCUAGGUCAUGCUAGGACUUUUAAUUUGGUCUCAUUUUGAAGCUUAUAUAUAGUUCUAUAUACCUGUACCCCCUUUUAUGGGGUCACAUUUCUUUAUUAUUUGUCUAUAUUGGGUUAAUCUGACAGGGGCGGCCUUUUCUCUUUAUUUUCAUGGGAAUGUGAUAUUGUGACAAAGUGUAACUUCCAUCUAGGUCAAGCUAGGACUUUAAAUUUGGUCUCAUUUUGUAACUAUUAUAGAGUACUACAUACCUGUACCCCCUUUCAUGGGGUCACAUUUCUUUAUUUUUUGUCUAUUUUGGGUUAUUCUGACAGGGGCGGCCUUUUCUCUAUAUUUUCAUGGGAAUGUGAUAUUGUGACAAAGUGUUACUUCCAUCUAGGUCAAGCUAGGACUUUAAAUUUGGUCUCAUUUUGUAACUAUUAUAUAGGACUUCAUACCUGUACCCCCUUUCAUGGGGUCACAUUUCUUUAUUUUUUGUCUAUUUUGGGUUAAUCUGACAGGGGCGGCCUUUUCUCUUUAUUUUCAUGGGAAUGUGAUAUUGUGACAGAGUGUUACUUCCAUCUAGGUCAAGCUAGGACUUUAAAUUUGGUCUCAUUUUGUAGAUAUUAUAUAUAACUACAUACCUGUACCCCCUUUCAUGGGGUCACAUUUCUUUAUUUUUUGUCUAUUUUGGGUUAUUCUGACAGGGGCGGCCUUUUCUCUAUAUUUUCAUGGGAAUGUGAUAUUGUGACAAAGUGUUACUUCCAUCUAGGUCAAGCUAGGACUUUAAAUUUGGUCUCAUUUUGUAACUAUUAUAUAGGACUUCAUACCUGUACCCCCUUUCAUGGGGUCACAUUUCUUUAUUUUUUGUCUAUUUUGGGUUAAUCUGACAGGGGCGGCCUUUUCUCUAUAUUUUUAUGUGAAUGUGAUAUUGUGACAAAGUGUAACUUCCAUCUAGGUCAUGCUAGGACUUUUAAUUUGGUCUCAUUUUGUAGAUAUUAUUUAGUACUACAUAGCUGUACCCCUUUUCAUGGGGUCACAUUUCUUUAUUUUUUGUCUAUUUUGUGUCAUACUGACAGGGGCGGCCUUUUCUCUAUAUUUUUAUGUGAAUGUGAUAUUGUGACAAAGUGUAACUUCCAUCUAGGUCAUGCUAGGACUUUUAAUUUGGUCUCAUUUUGAAGCUAAUAUAUAGUUCUACAUACCUGUACCCCCUUUUAUGGGGUCACAUUUCUUUAUUAUUUGUCUAUAUUGGGUUAAUCUGACAGGGGCGGCCUUUUCUCUAUAUUUUCAUGUGAAUUUGAUAUUGUGACAAAGUGUAACUUCCAUCUAGGUCAUGCUAGGACUUUUAAUUUGGUCUCAUUUUGAACCUAAUAUAUAGUUCUACAUACCUGUACCCCCUUUUAUGGGGUCACAUUUCUUUAUUAUUUGUCUAUAUUGGGUUAUUCUGACAGGGGCGGCCUUUUCUCUAUAUUUUUAUGGGAAUGUGAUAUUGUGACAAAGUGUAACUUCCAUCUAGGUCAUGCUAGGACUUUAAAUUUGGUCUCAUUUUGUAACUAUUAUAGAGUACUACAUACCUGUACCCCCUUUCAUGGGGUCACAUUUCUUUAUUUUUUGUCUAUUUUGGGUUAUUCUGACAGGGGCGGCCUUUUCUCUAUAUUUUCAUGUGAAUGUGAUAUUGUGACAAAGUGUAACUUCCAUCUAGGUCAAGCUAGGACUUUAAAUUUGGUCUCAUUUUGUAACUAUUAUAGAGUACUACAUACCUGUACCCCCUUUCAUGGGGUCACAUUUCUUUAUUUUUUGUCUAUUUUGGGUUAUUCUGACAGGGGCGGCCUUUUCUCUAUAUUUUCAUGGGAAUGUGAUAUUGUGACAGAGUGUUACUUCCAUCUAGGUCAAGCUAGGACUUUAAAUUUGGUCUCAUUUUGUAACUAUUAUAUAGGACUACAUACCUGUACCCCCUUUUAUGGGGUCACAUUUCUUUAUUUUUUGUCUAUUUUGGGUUAUUCUGACAGGGGCGGCCUUUUCUCUAUAUUUUUAUGUGAAUGUGAUAUUGUGACAAAUGUUACUUCCAUCUAGGUCAAGCUAGGACUUUAAAUUUGGUCUCAUUUUGUAACUAUUAUAUAGGACUUCAUACCUGUACCCCCUUUCAUGGGGUCACAUUUCUUUAUUUUUUGUCUAUUUUGGGUUAUUCUGACAGGGGCGGCCUUUUCUCUAUAUUUUCAUGGGAAUGUGAUAUUGUGACAAAUGUUACUUCCAUCUAGGUCAAGCUAGGACUUUAAAUUUGGUCUCAUUUUGUAACUAUUAUAUAGUACUACAUACCUGUACCCCCUUUCAUGGGGUCACAUUUCUUUAUUUUUUGUCUAUUUUGGGUUAAUCUGACAGGGGCGGCCUUUUCUCUAUAUUUUUAUGUGAAUGUGAUAUUGUGACAAAGUGUAACUUCCAUCUAGGUCAUGCUAGGACUUUAAAUUUGGUCUCAUUUUGAAGCUAUUAUAUAGGACUUCAUACCUGUACCCCCUUUCAUGGGGUCACAUUUCUUUAUUUUUUGUCUAUUUUGGGUUAAUCUGACAGGGGCGGCCUUUUCUCUAUAUUUUCAUGGGAAUGUGAUAUUGUGACAGAGUGUUACUUCCAUCUAGGUCAAGCUAGGACUUUAAAUUUGGUCUCAUUUUGUAACUAUUAUAGAGUACUACAUACCUGUACCCCCUUUCAUGGGGUCACAUUUCUUUAUUUUUUGUCUAUUUUGGGUUAUUCUGACAGGGGCGGCCUUUUCUCUAUAUUUUCAUGGGAAUGUGAUAUUGUGACAAAGUGUUACUUCCAUCUAGGUCAAGCUAGGACUUUAAAUUUGGUCUCAUUUUGUAACUAUUAUAUAGUACUACAUACCUGUACCCCCUUUCAUGGGGUCACAUUUCUUUAUUUUUUGUCUAUUUUGGGUUAUUCUGACAGGGGCGGCCUUUUCUCUAUAUUUUCAUGGGAAUGUGAUAUUGUGACAAAGUGUAACUUCCAUCUAGGUCAUGCUAGGACUUUAAAUUUGGUCUCAUUUUGUAGAUAUUAUAUAUAACUACAUACCUGUACCCCCUUUCAUGGGGUCACAUUUCUUUAUUUUUCGUCUAUUUUGUGUCAUACUGACAGGGGCGGCCUUUUCUCUAUAUUUUUAUGUGAAUGUGAUAUUGUGACAAAGUGUAACUUCCAUCUAGGUCAUGCUAGGACUUUUAAUUUGGUCUCAUUUUGUAACUAUUAUUUAGUACUACAUAGCUGUACCCCUUUUCAUGGGGUCACAUUUCUUUAUUAUUUGUCUAUAUUGGGUUAUUCUGACAGGGGCGGCCUUUUCUCUAUAUUUUUAUGUGAAUGUGAUAUUGUGACAAAGUGUAACUUCCAUCUAGGUCAUGCUAGAACUUUAAAUUUGGUCUCAUUUUGUAACUAUUAUAGAGUACUACAUACCUGUACCCCCUUUCAUGGGGUCACAUUUCUUUAUUUUUUGUCUAUUUUGGGUUAAUCUGACAGGGGCGGCCUUUUCUCUUUAUUUUCAUGGGAAUGUGAUAUUGUGACAAAGUGUAACUUCCAUCUAGGUCAUGCUAGAACUUUAAAUUUGGUCUCAUUUUGUAACUAUUAUAUAGGACUUCAUACCUGUACCCCCUUUCAUGGGGUCACAUUUCUUUAUUUUUUGUCUAUUUUGGGUUAAUCUGACAGGGGCGGCCUUUUCUCUAUAUUUUCAUGGGAAUGUGAUAUUGUGACAGAGUGUUACUUCCAUCUAGGUCAAGCUAGGACUUUAAAUUUGGUCUCAUUUUGUAACUAUUAUAUAGGACUACAUACCUGUACCCCCUUUUAUGGGGUCACAUUUCUUUAUUUUUUGUCUAUUUUGGGUUAUUCUGACAGGGGCGGCCUUUUCUCUUUAUUUUCAUGGGAAUGUGAUAUUGUGACAGAGUGUUACUUCCAUCUAGGUCAAGCUAGGACUUUAAAUUUGGUCUCAUUUUGAAGCUAUUAUAUAGUACUACAUACCUGUACCCCCUUUCAUGGGGUCACAUUUCUUUAUUUUUUGUCUAUUUUGGGUCAUACUGACAGGAGCUGCCUGUAUACUAUAUUUUUAUGUGAAUGUGAUAUUGUGACAAAGUUUAACCUCCAUCUAGGUCAUGCUAGAACUUUAAAUUUGGUUUCAUUUUGAAGCUAUUGCAUAGUACUACAUACCUGUACCCCCUUUUAUGGGGUCACAUUUCUUUAUUUUUUGUCUAUUUUGGGUGAAACUGACGGGAGCGGCCUGUAUACUAUGUUUUUUUUUGUGAAUGUGAUAUUGUGACAAAGUGUAACCUCCAUCUAGGUCAUGCUAAAACUUUAAAUUUGGUCUCAUUUUGAAGCUAUUGCAUAGUCCUACAUACCUGUACCCCCUUUUAUGGGGUCACAUUUCUUUAUUUUUUGUCUAUUUUGUGUCAUACUGACGGGGGCGGCCUUUAUUCUAUAUUUUUAUGUGAAUGUGAUAUUGUGACAAAGUGUAACUUCCAUCUAGGUCAAACUAGAACUUUAAAUUUGGUCUUAUUUUGAAGCUAUUAUAUAGUACUACAUACCUGUACCCCCUUUUAUGGGGUCACAUUUCUUUAUUUUUUGUCUAUUUUGGGUUAUUGUGACAGGGGCGGCCUUUAUUCUAUAUUUUUAUGUGAAUGUGAUAUUGUGACAAAGUGUAACUUCCAUCUAGGUCAUACUAGAACUUUAAAUUUGGUCUCAUUUUGAAGCUAUUAUAUAGUACUACAUACCUGUACCCGCUUUCAUGGGGUCACAUUUCUUUAAUCUCUGUCUAUUUUGGGUCAUACUGACAAGGGCGGCCUUUUCUCUAUAUUUUUAUGUGAAUGUGACAUUUUGAAUAACUUAACUUUUUUCCAGGUGAUUGUACGACUUUAAAUUUUGCCUCAUUUGUAGCUAUUAUUUAGUACAUACUUAUGGGGUUAUAUUUCUUUAUUCUCUGUCUAUUUUGUUUCAUCCUACUUGUAGUGCAACUGUUGACCACAAGAAACUUUGUAUACAUACAUGAUUGUAACCUUUAACUUGUGUUUCAACUUUUGCGAAAGAUAUUGUCUGUAUGAUUGCUUUUACAUGAACCGCUUUAAUUAAAAUGUAAGAUCAUGUUUACGGUAGUAUGUGAUUGUGUUAAAAUGAGGAAUUGUUGAAUAAAUCUUACUGAAAUUUA